UNUGCUGGAACUCAACUGACGCUAAUGCGUGAAAGCGUGGGGAGCAANCAGGAUUAGAUACCCUGGUAGUNCACGCCCUAAACGAUGUAUACUAGUUGUUGCUAAGCUAGUCUUGGCAGUAAUGCACCUAACGGAUUAAGUAUACCGCCUGGGGAGUACGGUCGCAAGAUUAAAACUCAAAGGAAUAGACGGGGACCCGCACAAGCGGUGGAGCAUGUGGUUUAAUUCGAAGAUACGCGAAGAACCUUACCCGGACUUGAUAUCUAACAAAUCAUCUAGAGAUAGAAGAGUGUCUGCUUGCAGAAAUGUUAAGACAGGUGCUGCACGGCUGUCGUCAGCUCGUGUCGUGAGAUGUUGGGUUAAGUCCCGCAACGAGCGCAACCCACGUCAUUAGUUGCUAACAGUUCGGCUGAGCACUCUAAUGAGACUGCCUUCGUAAGGAGGAGGAAGGUGUGGACGACGUCAAGUCAUCAUGGCCCUUAUGUCCGGGGCGACACACGUGCUACAAUGGCAUAUACAAUGAGAAGCAAUAUCGCGAGAUGGAGCAAAUCUAUAAAAUAUGUCCCAGUUCGGAUUGGAGUCUGCAACUCGACUCCAUGAAGCCGGAAUCGCUAGUAAUCGUAGAUCAGCCAUGCUACGGUGAAUACGUUCCCGGGUCUUGUACUCACCGCCCGUCACACCAUGGGAGUUGAUCUCACUCGAAG
This 704-nucleotide ribosomal RNA is filed under the name uncultured bacterium. RNAcentral's name for it is "bacterial SSU rRNA". It matches the Rfam family "Bacterial small subunit ribosomal RNA", at positions 725 to 1426 of the family's 1533-position model. The record is from RNAcentral.